UUCUUCUUCUUCUUCUUAUUAUUAUUAUUCUUCUUCUUCUUCUCCUUCUCCUUCUUCUUCUUCUUCUUCUUCUUCGUGCUUUUCCUUUUUCCUCUUCUUUCUUCUUCUCAUCUCAUCUCUUUUUCUUCUUCUUCUUNNNNNNNUUCUUCUUCUUCUUAUUAACUUCUUCUCCUCUAACUAAGCUAAUUAACAACUAACCUAACUAAGCUAAUUAACAAUAGCUAAUUAUUAACUAACCUAACUAAGCUAAUUAAUAGUCGCUAAUAAAAAAC
This 272-nucleotide long non-coding RNA is filed under the name Hordeum vulgare. RNAcentral's name for it is "long non-coding RNA (HVUL_LNC009088)". The record is from RNAcentral. Lineage: Eukaryota; Viridiplantae; Streptophyta; Magnoliopsida; Poales; Poaceae.